Molecule: ribosomal RNA, 1380 nt
Filed under: uncultured bacterium
Lineage: Bacteria
Description: bacterial SSU rRNA
Rfam family: Bacterial small subunit ribosomal RNA
Source: RNAcentral
GUGGUGAGUAACGCGUAGCCAACCUACCCCCUUGACGGAGAUAACUACCUGAAAGGGUAGCUAAUACCCGAUAUUGCUCGAGAUCGAAAGAUCUUGAGCCAAAGGCGGUCUUGCCGUCGCAAGAGGAGGGGGCUGCGUCCUAUUAGCUUGUUGGUGGGGUAAUGGCCCACCAAGGCGAUGAUGGGUAGCUGGUCUGAGAGGAUGGCCAGCCACAUUGGGUCUGAGAUACGGCCCAGACUCCUACGGGAGGCAGCAGUGGGGAAUCUUUCGCAAUGGGCGAAAGCCUGACGGAGCGACACCGCGUGGGGGAUGAAGGCUUUCGGGUUGUAAACCUCUUUUCUGGGGGAAGAAUAAGGGCGGGAGGAAAUGCCCGUCCGAUGACGGUACCCCAGGAAUAAGCAUCGGCUAACUUCGUGCCAGCAGCCGCGGUAAGACGAAGGAUGCAAGCGUUAUCCGGAAUUACUGGGCGUAAAGGGCGUCUAGGCGGCUGAGUAAGUCACCCGUGAAAGCCCUCAGCUCAACUGAGGAAUGUCGAGUGAAACUGCUCAGCUUGGGUGCAGGAGAGGAGGGUGGAACUCACAGAGUAGCGGUGGAAUGCGUAGAUACUGUGAGGUACCCCGAUGGCGAAGGCAACCCUCUGGCCUGCUACCGACGCUGAAGCGCGAAAGCGUGGGGAGCAAAGGGGAUUAGAUACCCCCGUAGUCCACGCCUCAAACGAUGUUCACUGGGUGUCGGUCGCUAAUACAGAUCGGCGCCGGAGCUAACGCGUUAAGUGGACCGCCUCCGAGUACGGCCGCAAGGCUAAUACUCAAGAGAAUUGACGGGGCCCCGCACAAGCGGUGGAGCACGUGGUUUAAUUCGAUGAUAAGCGAAGAACCUCACCUGGGUUUGACAUGCUAGUGGUAGGAACCGGAAACGGGGACGACCCUCGCCUUCGGGCAAGGGAGCUAGUACAGGUGAUGCAUGGCUGUCGUCAGUUCGUGUCGUGGGACGUUGGGUUAAGUCCCGAAACGAGCGCAACCCCUGUCGUCAGUUGCCAGCGGGUAAAGCCGGGGACUCUGACGAGACUGCCGGUGAAUAGCCGGAGGAAGGAGGGGAUGACGUCAAGUCAUCAUGUCCCUUAUGCCCAGGGCGACACACAUGCUACAAUGGGGGGUACAAAGGGCUGCAAUGCCGUAAGGCUGAGCCAAUCCCAAAAAACCUUCCUCAGUUCGGAUUGAGGUCUGUAACUCGACCUCAUGAAGCCGGAAUCGCUAGUAAUCGCAGGUCAGCCACACUGCGGUGAAUAUGUACUCGGGGCCUGUACACACCCCCCGUCACCCCAACCGAGUGGGGGGUACUUUUUGUCGCUCUUUAUAGAGCGCCAAGGGUAACCUCUGC